This is a long non-coding RNA of Oncorhynchus tshawytscha (Chinook salmon), 1116 nucleotides long. Lineage: Eukaryota; Metazoa; Chordata; Actinopteri; Salmoniformes; Salmonidae. The record is from Ensembl.
GGGGGCGCUGUGUCCGUAUAUAUACUGAUAAGGGGGCGCUGUGUCGUUUGUAUAUAUACUGAUAAGGGGGCGCUGUGUCGUUUGUAUACUGAUAGGGGCGCUGUGUCGUUUGUAUAUAUACUGAUAGGGGGCGCUGUGUCGUUCGUAUAUAUACUGAUAGGGGGCGCUGUGUCGAAGUCACCGUACCGCCAUCUUGGCACUCCCUCACCAUUUGUAAAACAUCUAUUUUAAUUUAUUACAGACACCUGUAAGAGUGUAAAGUGACCCGGUGCAGAAAGCCUAGCGGUUAAGCGCGUUGAGCCAAUAACCGAAAGGUUGCUGGUUCGAAUCCUCGACCGGGCAAGGUGUAAAAAAAUAAAUAAAAUCUGCCGUUCUCCCUUUGAACAAGUCAGUUAACCCCCAACAACAACUGCUCCCCGGGUACCGAUGUCGUGGAUUAAGGCAGCCCCCCCCCCACCUCCCUGAUUCAGAGGGGUUGGGUUAAGUGCUGAAGACAGUUCAAUUCAAUGCAUUGUUGUGCAAUGUAUCCCCAACCAACUGACUAGGUAUCCCCAACCAACUGACUAGGUAUCCCCAACCAACUGACGAGGUAUCCCCAAGCAACUGACGAGGUAUCCCCAAGCAACUCGACGAGGUAUCCCCAAGCAACUCGACGAGGUAUCCCCAAGCAACUCGACGAGGUAUCCCCAAGCAACUGACGAGGUAUCCCCAAGCAACUGACGAGGUAUCCCCAAGCAACUGACGAGGUAUCCCCCCAAGCAACUGACGAGGUAUCCCCCCAAGCAACUGACGAGGUAUCCCCAGGCAACUGACGAGGUAUCCCCCCAAGCAACUGACGAGGUAUCCCCUUUGUGUGACAGAGAGAAGUGUUUGCAGUGCUGCUGGUGGAAACGUCAUUUCGCCUAGUCAUCCUUUUAAAGCAGCCUUCAGGUACGGGUGUUAAUGGUGUCAGGGUAAAUGUAUAAUUUCAUUAAUUACUGGAAUUGAUUUGUACAUCUUACUGUAGAAAUUACCAGGCCUACUGUACAUCUUACUGUAGAAAUGACCAGGCCUACUGUACAUCUUACUGUAGAAAUGAUCAGGCCUACUGAACAUCUUACUGUAGAAAUGAUCAGG